UCCACCUGGUCCUUGGAAAAAACAAGACAACCCUCCCAGGAGCCUAUGCGACCUUCCCAACAAACCGCCUGGAAAGACGCCAUCUCUCUUGGCCCGGCAGGAACCGGCUUCUACCCCUGCCCGCCCUGGAAACUGCCCACCCUGGAAACUACCCGGCCAGAGCCACCCGUGGCCACUCCUCAUCCACUGGACCUGCCUGUGUUCUCCUGUCAUCACCCGACUCCCACACGGGCUGUGCGCCCAGCUGCCUGGCCCUGCUCUCCACUGCCCCUCUCAAAGGCUCAAGCCACACUCCCCUGGCCCCCACCCUCUAGUCCACCCCCCACCCCUCCCAGACUCAGGAAGGACAGAUCUUCACCCAGGAGCCUGGGGGAUGACUCCCUGAGCUUCAGGUUCAGGCUGACUUAACCUGGUCCCCUGGACGUCCCAACACGGGACCUACCCCCUCCUCUCUGAAAACCUGUGCCUCGUCCCGCCUCAAGGACCCUCCAGCCACCCAGGCAGCCAUGUGAGAACAGGCCUCAUCCCCUCCUGACAGCUGCACACAGGUUUUUUUUUUUAAGAUUUUUUUUGGAUCUGGACCGUUUGUAAAGUCUUUACUGAAUUCGUUACAAUAUUGUUUCUGUUUUAAGUUUGGGUUCUUCUGGCUCUAGGGCAUGUGGGACCUUAGCUCUCCAACCAGGGAUGGAACCUGUACCCUCUGCAUUGGAAGGUGAAGUCUUACCACUGGACCACCAGGGAAGACCCUGCACGCAGGUUUCUAUAGCUCUGGACCUCUGUCCUGCCCCGCCCCCACCUCCCUGGAGCUUCAGGGAGAGCCAGCUCUCUGCAUUCCAAGGCAGACCUUCCUCCCUCAAUCAGUCAGUGGGAAUUUGGUGGACAGUUUGCCCCAAGUCAGGCACUGGACUGAAGAGCCAAGAUCCAGGUCCUCAGAGCGAAGAGGGAAGGAAAGGACGCAAGGCAGCUUUCAGUUCCCUGUGGACAGAACCUUCUAGAAGUUCCUUCAUUGCCUGGCUGACUCCUCCUCAUCCCUCAGGGCCAGAAAGACAGGUGGUGACAAGCCAGCCCCAGUGGAGCCCAACUCUGCCCUUCGCCACCCUCGACAGGCAGAGAGGGGAGAGGAUGUGAGUGGCUCUGGGAGGUGCACCAGCCACCCACGAAGUUUCCGUCCUGGGUGGGCCCAUCCUGGGCUCCAAGUCUGGUCCAGGACAAGCUGAGGAAGACACCACAAGUCCUAGGCCAAGUCCCGCCUCCCACGACCGAGCCCUGACAAAGACUCCUGCCUGUGGACAUCCCCAUCUCCAAGGAACCUGCCCAAAGCCACCUUGGGGACCAGCACACCAUCCCUCCUAGCAGAACUUGGCCGCAUCCUGCAGUUGAGACAGGCUCCCCAGCCCACAUAUCCUGAUUCAGCGGGUCUGGGCUAAGUUGUGGGGGGGUGCGGGGGAAGCCGCCUGGGAAUCUGGAUUUUCAUCCAGCUCCUCCCCCAGGUGCUCCUGGGAACCAUAGCUGCAGACCCCAGACUCAGGGGCGCCAGACUGUCCUGAGACACAUACUCCCACCCUGCCAUGGGCCACUCACC
This is a long non-coding RNA of Bubalus bubalis (water buffalo), 1582 nucleotides long. RefSeq lists it as uncharacterized. The transcript is spliced from 3 exons. Lineage: Eukaryota; Metazoa; Chordata; Mammalia; Artiodactyla; Bovidae. The record is from RefSeq and is a predicted model, not a curated record.